Molecule: long non-coding RNA, 595 nt
Filed under: Homo sapiens (human)
Lineage: Eukaryota; Metazoa; Chordata; Mammalia; Primates; Hominidae
Description: novel transcript
Source: RNAcentral
AGUCACAGAAGGGGGUGAGAAGUGGGAAGAGGGGAUUUGCAUAGAACCUCCAAUUUUCCUUAUUUCCUAGGGAGUUGAUGAUUUCAGCCAAAUAUAAGUCUUAACGUUACAUCUGCAAUGGAAAAACAAGUCAAACUCAGCAAAAAGGAGCCCUGAAGAGACAGAGGGUGCUCACAGAAAUAACUACAGUGGACUAGAAUGAGAUGCUUGAAACCUUCCCCCGAGCCUAGCUCUGCAUUUAGGAGAACAGCACAGCGCACCAUGAUCUGAUAUAGAUGAGUGUUUUCCAUAGAGUGGAGCUCAAUUCCUAUUUCAGAUUUGAGCCAUCAAUGCUGGGCAAUUUCUUCCCAGGUAAAAUGAAGGCAAUACUAAAAUCUACCUCCAGAUGGGACUGUGAGGACCAGAUGAGAUGCUGUUUUAAAGCCCCGAGACCCCAGCACACAGUAGGUCUUCAAUAGAAUUUCUGCAUCUCUGGAGAUCUAUGGGAUGGCUCUGGGCUCCAGAUUGCAGCGAUCACUGUGGAGCAGCAACCAUCUCUCCAUCCUGGCUCCAUUGAGCUUCUGCUUCUGUCAUAUCUGCGCUCCCCAUUGGCACU